Molecule: unclassified non-coding RNA, 331 nt
Filed under: soil metagenome
Description: partial contains 5.8S ribosomal RNA, internal transcribed spacer 2, and large subunit ribosomal RNA
Rfam family: 5.8S ribosomal RNA (bases 1-120)
Source: RNAcentral
GAUGAAGAACGUAGCGAAAUGCGAUAAGUAGUGUGAAUUGCAGAAUUCAGUGAAUCAUCGAAUCUUUGAACGCACAUUGCGCCCCUUGGUAUUCCAUGGGGCAUGCCUGUUCGAGCGUCAUUUGUACCUUCAAGCUUUGCUUGGUGUUGGGUGUUUGUCCAUUCUCUUGCAGAGGGACUCGCCUUAAAGUAAUUGGCAGCCAGUGUUUUGGUUUUGAAGCGCAGCACAAGUCGCGAUUCAACGCUAUACGCCAGCUUCCACAAGCCUUUUUCACUUUUGACCUCGGAUCAGGUAGGGAUACCCGCUGAACUUAAGCAUAUCAAGCGGAGGA